Picea glauca (white spruce) is the source of this 122-nucleotide non-coding RNA. The record is from Rfam. NCBI's taxonomy places the organism in Eukaryota, Viridiplantae, Streptophyta, Pinopsida, Pinales, Pinaceae.
UUGUAAUGUAAUUCCUACAAUGUUAAUGCAUCAGAUACCAUUAGAACUCUUAAGUUAAGCACGCUUGGGCUAGAUUAGUAUUGGGAUGGGUGACCUCCCGAGAAGUCCUAGUGUUUUACAUG